GUAGGUAAGUGCCUGACUGUCGGGAUUUAUCCUGAGGAAAGUCCACCCACAAGAGAGAAUCGGCUGCUUAUGUUAUGUAAGUCCUAGAAAUGGGAGGCAACCGCUCAGAAACGACACGUCCUUACAUUGUUUAAACAUGUGGCUUGCGAAGGUUUUGGUGACAAAACUGAGUUAACCAGCUGAAUAGGUGUAAGGGAACGAUGAGACGGCGAGACCCUGUUUGUGCAAGUCCGUUGAGACGCUAAGUUGAAUGUCAGGAAUGCUUGUUCAUUUAAGUGAAGGCUAACAAAAGGUGGCUUACACUUGCCUAC
Molecule: RNase P RNA, 311 nt
Filed under: Nanobdellota archaeon
Lineage: Archaea; Nanobdellati; Nanobdellota
Description: RNase P RNA component
Rfam family: Archaeal RNase P
About the family: Ribonuclease P (RNase P) is a ubiquitous endoribonuclease, found in archaea, bacteria and eukarya as well as chloroplasts and mitochondria. Its best characterised activity is the generation of mature 5'-ends of tRNAs by cleaving the 5'-leader elements of precursor-tRNAs.
Source: RNAcentral